Long non-coding RNA from Biomphalaria glabrata, 1661 nucleotides. RefSeq lists it as uncharacterized. The record is from RefSeq and is a predicted model, not a curated record. NCBI's taxonomy places the organism in Eukaryota, Metazoa, Mollusca, Gastropoda, Planorbidae. The transcript is spliced from 6 exons.
GCUUAACUAUUGUUUCCAUAGAAACAACUUUUUUUUAAAUACCAUGAGAUAUUGUAUUUAAGAGAUAUUCUAGCUCAGUAUAUGUUGUUUCCAUAUAUCAUCAUCUUAACAAGCACACAUUCUCUGCUGCCAACAGUACCAAUUUGUCAACCAAGCAACAAAUAUUCCUUGGUAAUCUGCUAUCAGAUAACAGUUUUCUCGUUGGCAUUUUUAUGAAUUAAAGCUUUCAAGGCUUAAUGUUUUGGUCAAGUUUCAGAUUUGUUUAGCAUAAUCCUGUACUACAUAUUAACAAAUGUUUGGUGUGUCUAGUUCAUCUCUCUCACUAUGAAGAUGGCUACACACUAUCAGCAAUGCACCCCUAUGAUAUACAAGUCUUCAUUGCCAAGUCACUCUGCCAAACAGUGUGUACACCUUUCUUGCAGUGGUAGUACUUUACUGUACUUCAAUCACUUCAGGAGUCUGGAUAUGUCAGCCCAAGGCCAAGGAGAUCAAGUUUGUGUCCAAGGUUACUUAGGUAAUUCUCUAAGAACAAUAGGUUUUUUUUUUAAAGACACACACUACAUGUUGCUGAUCUGUGGGUUAGUGGCUCAAUCAUUGUGCACUGAUUCUCCACUGAUGCCUUGAUUGCCAUAAGUUUAUCUACUGAUCUACAGAUCAAGGGACUAAAUGGUCUAUUAAACAUGAGGUCAAGGAAAAAGGAUGAACAUUUCAAGGCUGCAGGAGGAACAUUAAACAUCUCUCUCACUGUGAAAAGAUUCUACCGAUCUACAAAUGAUCAACAUGUUUUAUCUAAAGUUCAUCUGCCAUUUCUUCAAAUGGAGCCAUAGUCAGAAUAAGAUUCUUUUUGUUCUUCCUUAGGUUCAAAUGUAUCAGUUGUUUUUGUUGACAGAUAUCAAGGUACAGAAAUAAGAAUCUAAUUUAGAGUUUUUUAAAGCUUGAUUAGUCAUAAUAUUUGCACUAUUAUUUCCAAUAUGUGCCAGAGUGUCUGCUAAAUGUAACUAGUAUGAUUAAAAACAUGGUCAUUGCAAAGUCUAACAUAUGGACAAGUAGGAUGCUUGGGGCUUGAUUCAGUGAAAGAAUGUUGGACAAGCAGAAGUGUUAUGGAGUGUGUGUGUUUUUAUGGUGACUGUGGUAAGAGGUAAGCGAUUGGAUGUGAAUGAUGCAAAAGUGGCAUUGUCGUCACUGGGUCUUAGUUAGGGGAGACGACUCCAGAAUGUAAGACUGAAAGGUUGUGUUAUUGUAGUGAGUUAGAUUGUAAGAAAUUUUAUUACUUAAGUCUACUACAUUUAUUUCAUGUGAUCACAAGUAUUAUAAAUGUUAUAUUUAGUUUUGUUCACAAGGAAGUUGUUCAAGUUCUUAUUAGCUAAGAUAUAUUAUGCCUUCAACAGUUUAGUUGCCUACCAGCAGUUUGGUGCUACAAGUCAACAACAGUCAGACUAAAUUAAAUAAAGCCAUGUCUAUUUCUACAUGAUUUUGUUGCUACUAACCUGGUGUUACUAACAACUAACUUGAAAAGGGAGAGGGGAAUUAUCAUCUUAUUCAUGCUCUAACUCUUCAAAUUCUAUAGAAUUGCAGAGAACUGACAUGAAAUAAAACAUUAACAAAAUGUGUAUUAUAAUUGUCAUUUUUCCUCUACUUAGCAUUUUUUUUUUCUCCUAGAU